UUCCAGACUCCUACGGGAGGCAGCAGUGGGGAAUAUUGGGCGAUGGGCGCAAGCCUGACCCAGCGACGCCGCGUGAAGGAAGAAGUAUCUCGGUAUGUAAACUUCUAUCAGCAGGGAAGAAAACAGACGGUACCUGACUAAGAAGCCCCGGCUAACUACGUGCCAGCAGCCGCGGUAAUACGUAGGGGGCAAGCGUUAUCCGGAUUUACUGGGUGUAAAGGGAGCGUAGACGGCAGUGCAAGUCUGAAGUGAAAGGCGGGGGCCCAACCCCCGGACUGCUUUGGAAACUGUGCUGCUGGAGUGCAGGAGAGGCAAGUGGAAUUCCUAGUGUAGCGGUGAAAUGCGUAGAUAUUAGGAGGAACACCAGUGGCGAAGGCGGCUUGCUGGGCUGUAACUGACGUUGAGGCUCGAAAGCGUGGGGAGCAAACAGGAUUAGAUACCCUGGUAGCG
This 450-nucleotide ribosomal RNA is filed under the name uncultured bacterium. RNAcentral describes it as "bacterial SSU rRNA". It matches the Rfam family "Bacterial small subunit ribosomal RNA", at positions 329 to 795 of the family's 1533-position model. The record is from RNAcentral.